Molecule: long non-coding RNA, 1430 nt
Organism: Cyprinodon tularosa
Lineage: Eukaryota; Metazoa; Chordata; Actinopteri; Cyprinodontiformes; Cyprinodontidae
Exons: 3
Source: RefSeq, a predicted model, not a curated record
CAUCUCAAAAUCUCCUAAAAAGCUGGCAUAUGCUAAACAUUCUAUGUAUUUUUUCAACUUUGGGGUAUACAUAGCUUAUUCAUAACGCGUCCAGAACUUAUGUCCAACAACAGCAUAACUUAUGCAUUACACAUGGCUGUCAAGAUCUGCCCUCAUAUCUCACCUAAAUUACUCAUGCCUUUCAUCUGCUUAACUCUGUCCAGCUCCUAAUUACGAUUCAUCUCAUCCACCUGCCUGUUUCCCUUAUAUUCGGCUCAGUUCCAGCUAUUCUGACCCGAUCAUUGUUUGAUGUUUGUUUGAUGUCUGUUUGUUUGUUUAGGCCCGUUAAUUUGUCUGUUUUGUUAAUUAUGCUUCAUGUCCUAGUUCCUGGCAGCCAGCGGAGUGAGAGGUUUCAGUGUUUGUUUAGCGUUUCUUUUCCUCUGAUAGUGUCCUGAUCCUCAGGGUUUUGGCUCGGAACGCGGAAAGGUCAGUUUUAAUCUCGUUGGCCUGGCUACUAGGAGGAGCCCAGUUUAAAGUCCAGCUGAAAUCCUGGAUCCACAUCUAAUCUCUGUCUGCUUCCCUCUACCACUGAGCCUGCCAUGUGUAUCUGAACCUGCCUGUCUGCUUCUGUUGGUGUCUGCGGGGGCACACUUCUGCACCAGUCUCUGGACUCUGAACCUGCCUGAAAGCUCUGUGGAUUCCUGGAAGUCUGGAUCGUGCUGUUCCUGUUUUGGUGGAAAACUGAUAGAGGGGAGGUUUUUUGGAUUCCUGAACUGUUUCUGCCUGCUCUGUUGUCCCCUGACCUGUAUCGGCUUUCUGGAACUUCUCCAGGGCUGCAACAUCAGAGACACUUUGGGCGACACAUGCCACACGUCUGGUUUUCAGCCCAUCGGCUGGAUUGCACCCCUUUCUAGGGAGAUGGACUGACCUGUGAAACCAGAGAGUGUCAGUGAUUGGGCAGUGCCCCGUCCCCCUCCUGCAGCCCCAGCGAGCUGCGGAUCCACAGCAGCGGGCUUCUGUUCUGUCUCUGUUUUUAUUUCAAUACAUUUUUUGAACUUUCCUACUGACCCACUUCAUGACAGAAUGAUCCGACCCACUUCAUGACAACAGCAGUUAAAGCUGCUCCCCUCAGGAUCAAAAAGUGAUCCAUGACUGCAGAAAAGCAGCACACUGGUUGGAAGAAAACCAAAGUCUCUUCAGCAGCAAGGUGGAUUUACCUGACAUUUUGAUGAUGGGGGAGGAAAAUGUGGCUGAAGCAGUCAAGCUAUUCAAACAAAUGUGUGAAGUAGAUGACUUCACCAUUGAUGAGCAUGAGAGGGAGAUGGUUUUAGAACCUUUCAAGUUUGUUUUUGAAAAGAUUGAAGACGUGGCAGUUUUUGGAGGAGCUGGCCGAUCGUCAGAAUCUUCUCCUGUACUGUGAGUGUAGAUUGUGAAUAAAGGACUUAAAGAUG